UACCGCGGUUAGACGAGAGGCCCAAGUUGACAGAUCCCGGCGUAAAGAGUGGUUAAGAUAAUAAAUGUACUAAAGACGAAUAGCUCCCGGGCUGUUAUACGCAUCCGAAAGCUAGAAGCUCAGCCACGAAAGUUGCUUUACUAUUCUGAACCCACGAAAGCCAAGGCA
Molecule: ribosomal RNA, 168 nt
Filed under: Pseudogramma sp. RGIP_2916
Lineage: Eukaryota; Metazoa; Chordata; Actinopteri; Perciformes; Serranidae
Description: partial small subunit ribosomal RNA
Source: RNAcentral